RNAcentral lists this ribosomal RNA (325 nucleotides) under uncultured bacterium. RNAcentral describes it as "bacterial SSU rRNA". It matches the Rfam family "Bacterial small subunit ribosomal RNA", at positions 28 to 334 of the family's 1533-position model. The record is from RNAcentral.
GAUGAACGCUGGCGGCGUGCUUAACACAUGCAAGUCGAACGGAUAUAUACCGAAACCUAGUGAAGUAUAUGUUAGUGGCGGACGGGUGAGUAACGCGUGGACAACCUGCCGUGCACAGGGGGAUAACACUUAGAAAUAGGUGCUAAUACCGCAUAAGCGCACAGUUUCGCAUGAGACAGUGUGAAAAGCCUGGAAGCGAUUCCCGGCGGUGCAUGAUGGAUCCGCGUCCGAUUAGCUAGUUGGCGGGGUAAAGGCCCACCAAGGCAGCGAUCGGUAGCCGGCCUGAGAGGGUGGACGGCCACAUUGGGACUGAGACACGGCCCAA